RNAcentral lists this ribosomal RNA (245 nucleotides) under uncultured bacterium. Its description in RNAcentral is "partial 16S ribosomal RNA". It matches the Rfam family "Bacterial small subunit ribosomal RNA", at positions 524 to 768 of the family's 1533-position model. The record is from RNAcentral.
GACGAAGGUGGCGAGCGUUGUUCGGAAUCACUGGGCUUAAAGCGCGCGUAGGCGGCCCUUCAAGUGCUUUGUGAAAUCCCUCGGCCCAACCGAGGAAUUGCUUGGCAUACUGCUGGGCUUGAGGCGGGUAUGGGUGAGUGGAACUCUUGGUGGAGCGGUGAAAUGCGUAGAUAUCAAGAGGAACGCCGGUGGUGAAGACGACUCACUAGGCCUGCCCUGACGCUGAGGCGCGAAAGCCAGGGGAG